This 225-nucleotide unclassified non-coding RNA is filed under the name uncultured Hypochnicium. Its description in RNAcentral is "sequence contains ITS2". The record is from RNAcentral. Lineage: Eukaryota; Fungi; Basidiomycota; Agaricomycetes; Corticiales; Corticiaceae.
UACUCUCAAUCCAUUCAAUAUUGUCAAAUGUAUUGGAUUGGUAUUGGAUGUGGAGGAUUUUUUUUUUUGCUGGUCUCUUUAUUGAGUAUCAGCUCCUCUGAAAUGCAUUAGUGUGAAUGUUUACCGAGCAUUUUCUCAGUGUGAUAAUUAUCUACGCUGUGGCUGCUUGGAUCUCAUAAAUUUCAUGCUUCAAACCGUCUGCCUUGGUGGACAACUUAUUUUGAC